UCCUCCAUGGUCCAGUUGGCUAAAGGCGUCCGACUGUUAAUCGGGAAAUCCCUGGUCCGAGCCCAGGUGGAGGAG
Molecule: non-coding RNA, 75 nt
Organism: Colletotrichum phormii
Lineage: Eukaryota; Fungi; Ascomycota; Sordariomycetes; Glomerellales; Glomerellaceae
Source: the annotation of a RefSeq genome assembly